UUUCGGGCCUGGAAAGAUUAUGAAGUUCGGUACAAAACCUUCUGGUAUUCAAAAAAAAAAACAACAUGUUUUUGAAAUGUUAGGUCCGAAGAAAACAAAUAAUCAAAAACUAUAAACAUAGAAGAGUCUCUCGUUUGUGCGGAGGGUUGUGGUAUGUGUUUAUUGAAGAAGACUCGGUACACAUGAAUUAGGGAUUAAACCGGAUUCGGUUCCGGAUUUAUUGAAGACCGUUAGUGAGUUAACAGAGUUAGCUAAAAGCUCUGUAUCAAAACAAGCUCUAGUUAAUGUGUUUGUAUCUAAUUUUCAAUUCAAUUACAAACAAGAGUCAUGAGUGUUGAUGUAGGGAUCACACAAGUACGAUGUUUCUCUAGGAAGAGUUAAAGAAUCCGUCUCGGUUAACAGGCCGAUGACUAGACGAGAAUUUCUUGACUAAGGGACGUGGUAUUGUGACGGAAUGAUCGAAACAGGAUGAGAUCGGCGAUGUGUAGACAAGGCGAGGUCUUGGAGACGAGGUGAGGUCUUGAAGAUGAGGCGAAGUCUUGAAGACGAGGUGAGGUCUUGAAGACGAGGCGAGGUCUUGAAGACGAGGUGAGGUCUUGAAGACGAGGCGAGGUCAAUGGUUGUACUGCUGUCCUUUCUCUGUGUCAGCGGGAAUUGCGCAUUUCCUUUCAUUCCUUUCCAUUCUUGUACUUAUAGGACCUGUCCUUUUAGGGUUUCCUUUUUAUGCUUGUAAGUCUUUACCACUUUUUCCACUCUGCACAGUACAUCUGUCCUCUUUGCCCUCUUCCUUUGGUCGAUGGAACACUCCAGAUCUUUUCUAUCACUUACUGGGCUUGGUUUGGGCUUAUUAUGUUCAUGGGCCAAAACCGACCAUUAACAAUGAGUAAGAUUUAACGUUUGAUUGUGACGGUCUAGCGAUCGGAUUAUAUCAAAAUUAGUUAAUGAACAACUUAUAAUUGAUCAUCAAGGAAUAUGUAAC
This 979-nucleotide long non-coding RNA is filed under the name Arabidopsis thaliana (thale cress). RNAcentral's name for it is "long non-coding RNA (ATHA_LNC000416)". Lineage: Eukaryota; Viridiplantae; Streptophyta; Magnoliopsida; Brassicales; Brassicaceae. The record is from RNAcentral.